Molecule: transfer RNA, 73 nt
Filed under: Nitrospirota bacterium
Lineage: Bacteria; Pseudomonadati; Nitrospirota
Description: Nitrospirae bacterium (hydrothermal vent metagenome) tRNA-Lys
Rfam family: tRNA
About the family: Transfer RNA (tRNA) molecules are approximately 80 nucleotides in length. Their secondary structure includes four short double-helical elements and three loops (D, anti-codon, and T loops).
Source: RNAcentral
GCCCCUAUAGCUCAGUUGGGAGAGCACCUGACUCUUAAUCAGGGUGUCCCAGGUUCGAGCCCUGGUGGGGGCA